This 940-nucleotide ribosomal RNA is filed under the name Inocybe sp. AU92. RNAcentral describes it as "eukaryotic LSU rRNA". It matches the Rfam family "Eukaryotic large subunit ribosomal RNA", at positions 34 to 961 of the family's 3401-position model. The record is from RNAcentral. Lineage: Eukaryota; Fungi; Basidiomycota; Agaricomycetes; Agaricales; Inocybaceae.
UUAAGCAUAUCAAUAAGCGGAGGAAAAGAAACUAACAAGGAUUCCCCUAGUAACUGCGAGUGAAGYGGGAAAAGCUCAAAUUUGAAAUCUGGCAGUUCUUGACUGUCCGAGUUGUAAUCUAGAGAAGUGUUACCUGUGCUGGACCAUAUACAAGUCUCCUGGAAUGGAGCAUCACAGAGGGUGAGAAUCCCGUCUUUGAUAUGGACUACCAGUGCAUUAUGGUGCGCUCUCAAAGAGUCGAGUUGUUUGGGAAUGCAGCUCAAAAUGGGUGGUAAAUGCCAUCUAAAGCUAAAUAUUGGCGAGAGACCGAUAGCGAACAAGUACCGUGAGGGAAAGAUGAAAAGAACUUUGGAAAGAGAGUUAAACAGUACGUGAAAUUGCUGAAAGGGAAACGCUUGAAGUCAGUCACGUUGGCUGGAAAUCAGCCUUGCUUUUGCUUGGUGUACUUUCUGGUCGACGGGUCAGCAUCAAUUUUGACCAUUGGAUAAAGUCUUUGGGAAUGUGGCAUCUUUGGAUGUGUUAUAGCCCUGAGUCGCAUACAGUGGUUGGGAUUGAGGAACUCAGCACGCCGCAAGGCCAGGUUUCGACCAUGUUCGUGCUUAGGAUGCUGGCAAAAUGGCUUUAAUCGACCCGUCUUGAAACACGGACCAAGGAGUCUAACAUGCCUGCGAGUGUUUGGGUGGAAAACCCAUGCGCACAAUGAAAGUGAAAGUUGAGAUCCCUUUCAGGGGGAGCAUUGACGCCCGGACCAGACCUUCUGUGACGGAUCYGCGGUAGAGCAUGCAUGUUGGGACCCGAAAGAUGGUGAACUAUGCCUGAAUAGGGUGAAGCCAGAGGAAACUCUGGUGGAGGCUCGUAGCGAUUCUGACGUGCAAAUCGAUCGUCAAAUUUGGGUAUAGGGGCGAAAGACUAAUCGAACCAUCUAGUAGCUGGUUCCUGC